UACGUAGGGACCAAGCGUUGUUCGGAUUUACUGGGCGUAAAGGGCGCGUAGGCGGCGCGGUAAGUCACUUGUGAAAUCUCUGAGCUUAACUCAGAACGGCCAAGUGAUACUGCAGUGCUAGAGUGUGGAAGGGGCAAUCGGAAUUCUUGGUGUAGCGGUGAAAUGCGUAGAGUAUCAAGAGGAACACCUGAGGUGAAGACGGGUUGCUGGGCCAACACUGACGCUGAUGCGCGAAAGCCGGGGGAGCAAACGG
This 253-nucleotide ribosomal RNA is filed under the name uncultured bacterium. RNAcentral's name for it is "partial 16S ribosomal RNA". It matches the Rfam family "Bacterial small subunit ribosomal RNA", at positions 524 to 775 of the family's 1533-position model. The record is from RNAcentral.